Long non-coding RNA from Lathyrus oleraceus (garden pea), 602 nucleotides. RefSeq lists it as uncharacterized. The record is from RefSeq and is a predicted model, not a curated record. Lineage: Eukaryota; Viridiplantae; Streptophyta; Magnoliopsida; Fabales; Fabaceae. The transcript is spliced from 3 exons.
UGCUUCUCGCCCAUUUUCUCUCUCCCAUCUCAACUCCAAUUCUAAGUUUUUCUCUCUCAUUUUUUCUCUUCUCCUCUCUCUUUUCCCUUGAAACCUUAACGCUGCCACCUCUUUCUCAACCCUGUCUCCGGCUAGCCUAGCGAUCUUGCCGUCGAAAUGGGUGUUGAGGUUGAUUAUUUUUUCCUGAUAAGCUAUUGUUGUUUUGAGGUUGAUUAUGAAAUGGAUGUGUGCAGGUUUUCAAGUAUGUGAUUCACUAGGUGGAGGAACUGAAUCUGAAAUGGAUACCCUGAUAGGAUGAUGCUUACUUUCUCCAUUCUUAAUUCUCCCUUCUCCUAAGGUCUUUAACACGAUGGUGGAACCCUACAACGCUACUCUCUUUUUGGUGAUCUUAACAAUUUGAUAUUUGCUAUCAUGUAUGGUCUGGUGUCACAUGUUGUCUGAGGUUCCCUGAUCAGCUUAACUCCGAUCUUUAACUUUUUGUAGCAUGAUGAUAUUACCGAGGCUCGAGACUUUGUUGGUCAAGAAAUUGUAAGUGCAACAAAAUUUUAAUUAGUUUUUCUGUUUCAAAAUUAAAUUCUCUUCGAUUUUAUUUUUUAUUUCAC